GACGAACGCUGGCGGCGUGCUUAACACAUGCAAGUCGAGCGGUAAGGCCCUUUCGGGGGUACACGAGCGGCGAACGGGUGAGUAACACGUGGGUGACCUGCCCUUAGCUCUGGGAUAAGCCUGGGAAACUGGGUCUAAUACCGGAUAUGACUCCAUAACGCAUGUUGUGGGGUGGAAAGCCUUGUGCGGCUAGGGAUGGGCCCGCGGCCUAUCAGCUUGUUGGUGGGGUGAUGGCCACCAAGGCGACGACGGGUAGCCGGCCUGAGAGGGCGACCGGCCACACUGGGACUGAGACACGGCCCAGACUCCUACGGGAGGCAGCAGGUGGGGAAUCUUGCGCAAUGGGCGAAAGCCUGACGCAGCGACGCCGC
Molecule: ribosomal RNA, 371 nt
Filed under: uncultured bacterium
Lineage: Bacteria
Description: bacterial SSU rRNA
Rfam family: Bacterial small subunit ribosomal RNA
Source: RNAcentral